UUAAAAGUAAAGCAGUCUCAUUUUGUGUAAAAAAAUAUUUAAUUGUGGCCGCACGAUCUGUGAUGAACUGUCAUUGUGUCUUGAUCCCCGGGAUCCCCAGGGAGGGGAUCCGAGAGGAUCCAAAUCCAAAACUAUCCGCAUCCAAUGAGCUAGUUAACAUAGUAAACAUUUGAUUACUGGGUCUUAAGCACUAAAAAACUAUAAACUUAAUGAUUAAAAACUAAAAAAAUUGAAAAGCUAUAGUGAAAAAUUAAAUUGAAAACAAAUUGAUAUCUGGUUAUAUUCGUUUUAGCUUUUAAAUUUUUGUUUUUAAGUUUUGUUUUUUAUUAUUUUUUUUAAAAACCAAAAACUUGUUUGAUAAUUGUUAUCAAAUUUCAUUUUUUGAUUAAAAUCACAAGUUGAAAAUUGAACACCAGAUUAAAAAAAAUUAAAAAAUAAACUUGCUAAAAAAACUGAAUAAAUUAUGAUAAACCCAUAAACAGCAAGUAUACAAAAAAUAUUAAGUAAUGCUAUACUUAUUACAUUUUUCAUACAACCUCUUUAAUAAAUAUAUCGCCUACCAACACAUGUGGAUUUCAUCUAUUAUAUAAAAAAUACGGUACAAGUAACAUUUUUUUUUUAAAUUCACACAUAACACAUGUUUCUCUUGUACGUUGUCUGAAAAAGUUAAACGACAAUACUGAAUAUAAAAACCAUCACUAGCAAGGCGCAGUCUGACUUUAGAACUAUUUUGUUUUCUCCCUUGGCAUGCAAGAAAAGAAAACUGUCUAACUUGAACUUGAACAACAAGAUCAAUUUUGUCCUAAAAGGCAUGCUUGGACGACUAAAAUCAGGCUUAAUUUACACUAAGGGCCGGUUUGACAUUGCUGAAAUUUUUUUAAAAGUAGUUUUUAAAAAAAAGUUAGAACUAAAAUCGUGUUUAAUAAAUGAAAAAAAAUGUUUAUUUAUUUUUUUUUCAAACCAUGGUUCCAAAACAGUAGAAAACAGAAGCAG
This 993-nucleotide long non-coding RNA is filed under the name Malus domestica (apple). Its description in RNAcentral is "long non-coding RNA (MDOM_LNC017866)". The record is from RNAcentral. Lineage: Eukaryota; Viridiplantae; Streptophyta; Magnoliopsida; Rosales; Rosaceae.